AGCUCCAAUAGCGUAUAUUAACGUUGCUGCAGUUAAAAGGCUCGUAGUCGAACUUAUGGCGUGUGAUAUGUGACCCAUUGCUUACUGCAUUGGUGGUUAUAUGUUCAAGUCAUCUUUCUGGAAAGCAUUUCUGCCCUUCAUUGGGUGGUUUUGUACUUCAGAUCAUUUACUGUGAGUAAAUCAGAGUGUUCAAAGCAAGCUUUUAAUGCUUGUAUGCAUUAGCAUGGAAUAAUAAGAUAGGACUUUGAUUCUAUUUUGUUGGCUUCUAGAAUUGAAGUAAUGAUUGAAAGGGAUAGUUGGGGGUGCUAGUAUUUAACGGUCAGCGGUGAAAUGCGUGGACCCGUUAAAGACUAACUUAUGCGAAAGCAUUCACCAAGGAUAUUUUCU
RNAcentral lists this ribosomal RNA (387 nucleotides) under uncultured eukaryote. RNAcentral's name for it is "SSU rRNA". It matches the Rfam family "Eukaryotic small subunit ribosomal RNA", at positions 587 to 972 of the family's 1831-position model. The record is from RNAcentral.